AAUAAAUAAACAAAUAAAUCUCUGAGAUUUAAAAAAAAAAGAAAAACUUCUUUUCUACUCCAAUUUUUGCCACUAAUGAGAUAUGCAACUUUGCGGAAACCAGACUUUUCCUAGGCUUCCGUGCUCAUGCUGGUAAAGGGCUGGACGCAGUAACUUCUGUAGCCUCUACCAGCCUCAGGUGCAUAUGAUUCUUGUAUGAAACUACUGCUACUCCCACUGUCUCAGAAAACACCCAGUUUUCUUCAGCUUUCUUAAUAUAAGACUUUCAGAAGAAGCUUUUUAUGGGGAAAAAAGACUUCUGAUAUUUUCUUCUGUUUAUUAAAGCAAUACCAAAUAUAAUAUUUCAGAACCAAAUGCAACUGCAUUUUAGAGGGUUAUUUACAACUAUUGUAUUAGCUACCAGUCUCUCUAUAUUCACUUUUAUAACCUACACAGUAUCUUACAAGAGAGAUUAUUCUUAACCUAUGGACAACUGGUAGACGAUUUCUCGCCUGAGCUAAGAGAAGCCUGCCAGCAUAUGGCCCAGUGGUGAAGAAGCCUAGCUUUGGGCCUGGCUGCUUGAACACAAAUCCUGGCACUGUCACUUACUAGCUGUGCAACCUUGGGCAAGUUACUUGACAUCUCAGUUUUCUCAUCUACAAAACAGUUGUUGGUUGUGAGGAGUAAGCAAGUUGAUACUUGUAAAAUACUAGUACAGGACCUGGCACAUGGUAAAUACUCAAUAAAUGCUAGCUAUUAUUUACUAUUACCACCAAUACUAUUAUUAUUUUAUCCUGUAGACACACUUUUGCUGACCUGGAUACUGAAGGAAGUGUAACAGGGAUAUUUUAUCCUUAUCAUCACAGAGAUGGAAGAAGCGACUGUAAGAGCUGAAGACGCAACCAUUUCUAGUUCUUCACAUUUCAGCUAUAUACAUACAAGGCACCUAUCAUUUAUUCUUUAAGAGUGCGUUCCCUAAAAAGAAUCACGGAAUGUUUGAGUUAAAAGGGAUCAUUAAAUACAAAUAUAUGCAAAAAG
Molecule: non-coding RNA, 1017 nt
Organism: Equus caballus (horse)
Lineage: Eukaryota; Metazoa; Chordata; Mammalia; Perissodactyla; Equidae
Source: RefSeq, a predicted model, not a curated record